UCACGGCAACACUGGAUCCUUAAACCCCUGACCGAGGCCAGGGAUGGAACCUGUGUCCUCAUGGAUACUGGUCCAGUUUCAUUGCUGCUGAACCACGAUGGAAACAACCAGAAGCCUUUUUAUGAAGUGAGCCUAUCUCCCCUGUCCUACCGUGAAGAAGAGUAGUGAGGCUAGACUCUGAAUCUGGACUGGGUUAGAGAUGGCCAACUGAAAAAAGGAGGAUUAAGUGGGGGUAUUUAUAGGGAAUGCUGGACCUCCAAGCCCUCUCCAUUCCCCUACCAUCCAGCGCACUGACCUAGAUCCUACAGGCAGGUGAAUGGAAGACCGUUUUCCAUAAAGUAGAAGGAAACGUAAAAGCAGAAAAGAUGGGGAAUUUAGGGGUCCAAUCCUUUAAGGUCAUAUUCCAAAUUUACAGGAAUUCCAGAGAGGAUAUUAUAUAAGCUGAGAGAGAGAAACUGAUCACCCACAAAGCAUUGAAGAUCAAAACACUUAAAACUAGUGGAACAACACCUUUUAAAUUUUUUGAGGAAUAUGUUGUUUCUUCUCAGAAUUCAGUCAAACCAUCAGUCAAAUGGGAAGGUAGAAUAAAGACAUUUCAGAUCUAUAAAGUCUCAAAUUUUUUUUUUUAUCUCCUGUGUUCUCUUUCUUAGGAAGAAGCUGGGGAAUGCAUUCCAACAAAAUAAGGAAGCAGAAAUAAAUGAAUAAAUAAGUGAAGCAGAAGAGAUACAAUAUAAAGGACCCUAACAUGAGUGCUAACAGAGGAGCAAGGCAAAGGCACCCCAGGAUGAAGGCAAAGGGAGAUUCCAGGAUGACAGCAAUGACCUGGCUGAAAAGAUCCUCAGUCUACACUAGCAACGAGGACGACCCACUUCAUUCAAAAUCCCAGAUCUACAGGCAUAUUGGGACAGAGGCUCUACUGUGGGCAUAGAUUUAUCAAUAUACUCAUCUCCUUCUAGUGGAUUUUCCAGUGGAUUUACCAGCCUUCCACACCACUCUUCAGGGGCUUGGCAGCAAAAUCCCUUCUUCUUCACAGUUGUAUAACCAGAGCUUGGGGAAGGUGGCACAGAACAGGUACCUGAUAACUGUUUGCUGGGCUGAACUCGGUUCCAAUCAUGAUGAGAUAGUGUACCAUCCCUUUCUAAGAGCUACUCCUCAGCUGCAGUGGGACCUGUCAGCUUGAACAUUUACGUUUCUUAGCUCCAAUUAUAUCCACCAUCUUCAAAAUUAUUCAUGUGGCACUAAUAUACUAUAAACAAACUGUCCAAAAGAUUUUGAUUCUGAGUGACAUACAGUCACUAGGUAACAUGACAUGUUUCCAUCACACCGUUCUAGUAAAAAGUAGUAAACCAGUUAUUGAAUAAUGAAAUUAAUUUUCCCUGGGGCCUCUGUGGCAAAGCGCAUGAUUUUCUUCGUUAUCUUACAUCAGCCUACUGACCCUAGCUGCUAAGCUGUACCGUCAGGCGCUUUUGGAAACUGAAAACUUUGAACUGUUACUUCCUACACCACAGCCCCAGUUUAGCAGCACUUGCAUUUCACAUCUUAAUCUUAUUUUAAUACAGCCAGAGCAGACCUCACGUUUCAAACGUUCAUUAACAAAGUCUCACAAUUAAGAGAGCAGCCCAGUGACUCAUUUUUGGAUACCCGUUUGGAAAUAACAGCUCCUCCCUUUGCUGAGAAAUGGCUUAAACAAGUGCGUGAGAACCACAGGAAGUAAUACAGAUCUCAGCUGCUGUCAGCCAAGUCUAGAAUUCCCUCUCCAGCGGUGUGGCGCUCCUAGGCGCUGCCACUACCUCUUGUCUCCAUUCUCUAAAACAAAUAAAUAAACCAAAGUCUUAUAUGGGCUUGGAAGAGUGUGAAAUAUUUCAAGGCGGUAACAAGUCUCCGUAUUUCCUGGAUCCUGAGUCAUACUGUCAAGUGCAAGUCAAGAAGUUCCCAUUCUGGUAUUUUUGAGAAAGUGCAACCUAAUAGGAAGUGAAGAGGUGAUCAAACCGAAGUAAUGCUCCCACGAAUUUAAAAAACAAACAA
Sus scrofa (pig) is the source of this 2025-nucleotide non-coding RNA. NCBI's taxonomy places the organism in Eukaryota, Metazoa, Chordata, Mammalia, Artiodactyla, Suidae. The record is from RefSeq and is a predicted model, not a curated record.